This 499-nucleotide ribosomal RNA is filed under the name uncultured bacterium. RNAcentral describes it as "bacterial SSU rRNA". It matches the Rfam family "Bacterial small subunit ribosomal RNA", at positions 28 to 529 of the family's 1533-position model. The record is from RNAcentral.
GAUGAACGCUGGCGGCGUGCCUCAAACAUGCAAGUCGAGCGGGGCUAUGUAAUAUCGCAAGGUAGAACAUAGCCUAGCGGCGAACGGGUGAGUAACACGUGGGUAACCUGCCUGGAAGACAGGGAUAACGAUUCGAAAGGGUCGCUAAUACCUGAUAAUAUCCUUUCAUCGCAUGGUGAUAGGAAGAAAGGGGAAACCCGCUUUCAGAUGGGCCCGCGUCCCAUCAGCUAGUUGGUAAGGUAAAGGCUUACCAAGGCGACGACGGGUAGCCGGUCUGAGAGGAUGUACGGCCACACUGGGACUGAGAUACGGCCCAGACUCCUACGGGAGGCAGCAGUUGGGAAUCUUAGGCAAUGGACGAAAGUCUGACCUAGCGACGCCGCGUGAGGGAAGAAGGCCUUCGGGUUGUAAACCUCUGUCAUGGGGAAGAAGUAAGUGACGGUACCCAAGAGGAAGCCCCUGCUAACUACGUGCCAGCAGCCGCGGUAAAAGUACUCUA